RNAcentral lists this ribosomal RNA (514 nucleotides) under uncultured marine eukaryote. RNAcentral's name for it is "bacterial SSU rRNA". It matches the Rfam family "Eukaryotic small subunit ribosomal RNA", at positions 22 to 548 of the family's 1831-position model. The record is from RNAcentral.
AGUCAUAUGCUUGUCUCAAAGACUAAGCCAUGCAUGUCUAAGUUUAAAUGCUAAACAAUGAAACUGCGAACGGCUCAUUAAAACAGUUAUAGUUUAUUUGGUAAUCGAAUUUACAUGGAUAACCGUGGUAAUUCUAGAGCUAAUACAUGCUGUGCGCCUGACUUUUUGGAAAGGCGGUAUUUAUUAGAUAACAACCAAUAUUCCGUAGGUCUAUCGUGGUGAGUCAUAAUAACUGAUCGAAUUGCAAAGCCUUUGGCUGCGAUAAGUCAUUCAAGUUUCUGCCCCAUCAGCUGUAGAUGGUAGUGUAUUGGACUACCAUGGCUUUCACGGGUAACGGAGGAUUAGGGUUCGAUUCCGGAGAGGGAGCCUGAGAAACGGCUACCACAUCUAAGGAAGGCAGCAGGCGCGUAAAUUACCCAAUACUGACUCAGUGAGGUAGUGACAAGAAAUAACGGGCCGGGGAUUUCCCCGGGACUGAAAUGAGUUUAAUUUAAACCCCUUUUCGAGGAUCCAU